RNAcentral lists this ribosomal RNA (253 nucleotides) under uncultured bacterium. RNAcentral describes it as "partial 16S ribosomal RNA". It matches the Rfam family "Bacterial small subunit ribosomal RNA", at positions 524 to 776 of the family's 1533-position model. The record is from RNAcentral.
UACGAAGGACCCGAGCGUUAUCCGGAUUUAUUGGGUUUAAAGGGUGCGUAGGCGGAUUUACAAGUCAGUGGUGAAAUCUCCCAGCUUAACUGGGAAACUGCCAUUGAAACUGUUUAUCUUGAGUACAUUUGAGGCGGGCGGAAUGUGUCAUGUAGAGGUGAAAUUCUUAGAUAUGACGCAGAACACCAAUUGCGAAGGCAGCUCGCUAAACUGUAACUGACGCUGAGGCACGAAAGCGUGGGGAUCAAACAGG